AUGAUGAGGUGCUACAAUAUCUCAUAUGCCACUACACUCCUGCUCCUCCUUGUGUUUUCAUCCUUUAUACAUUUAUCUGCUCCCAACCCUGUUGGAACACUCAGACCUAAAGAUGAUCCCAAUGGACCAACAGCAUCUGAAAACAGAGAAAACUCGGAUGACAAAAUGCCACUGAUACAAAGAGAGGGCGCACAGGAAGAGGAAGAGCUUUUUAAAGAUGUCGAUCCAAAGAAAUUAGCAGCAGUUUUAUUGGAGGCAUUGAAUCAAUCCCACGUCCAAACCAGAUGGAAGAAUGAUAAUUUCGAAAACGAAGAAGAAGAAGAAAGAAAAGCUAGUACAGGUGAUGUGCACAGUAAGACCCCAUAUAGUAAAGUGGGCUCAUUGGGGCGCUCCGAUCGCGAUCGAGGUGGAAGGGAAGAGCUAGAGCUAUUGAUGGCUGCAAAUGGGAAAGCGCAGGAAAAAGCAGAGGAAGAGGAGAAAGCCAAAGCUCAGGAAGAAGAGGACAAGAUGACUGAGAAGGUUACGAGUCGCACCACAAGUCAGACUGUCCAGAUUCAAAGAGAUCCACCAUCCAGCAGUUCAGAUGGAGGAGAAGGAAAUGGGCAAGCUUCUGUCCCUCAGGAAUCAACCAGACCAGGUCAUGGAAGUCAUGAAGAAGAGGAAGAGCAGCUCAAUCCCGAGGAACUCAAGAGUCUUGAGAGAAUGAUGAAAGAGUUUCCCCCUCUGAACACUGCUGUCAAGCGAGAGGGAGGCUCAGAGCCCAAUCAGAGAGAAAGCAGAGGUUACACAAGCUACAACGAAGUGUUACCAGCCCAGAAAAGCGGCGACCUCGCCAUGUCCAAGAAGAUGCUGAAAUGGCGGGAGGAAACACAGAAAGCUGUUUACUUUCCAACAUUCAAAGAAGGAAAUUUCAUGGAUGACUUUGAGGACAGCAAUGAUGGCAGCAAUGCAGCACAGCCCCAGCUUCCAGCAGAGCAGAAGGUCAUGGAUGAGGAAGAGGAGGAAGAGGAGGAGCUAAGUCUAGAAGAGGAAGAGGCUCGGGCUAAAGCAGAGCAGGAGGAAAUGAGGAGGCAGGCAGCAGAGGUGCAGAAAGCCAAGAUGGAGGAGGAGAAGUUGGCAGAUAUUGCCUCUGAUAUGCUACUGCGCUACAUGGUCAAACAGAACAACGGUAAUCAGAAGAACAGCUUGUCUGUGUCCAAUGCCAUGGAGGACAAAAGGUCUGAGGAGGAGCAGGUGACGGAGGAAGAUGACAUCGAUCCCCAGACCAUUGACAAGCUAAUUGAGAUCUCCAGCAAGCUCCACCUCCCUGCUGACGAUGUGGUGGACAUAAUCAGUGACGUGGAGAAGAAGAAAAGAAAAGACAUGCCACUUGACACAUCACGUUGGCAACGACCUCAGUCACUUCAGUCCUCUUCUUCCUCAGCAUCACAGCUUUCAGCCAAUCAUUACAACUUCCCUGUUGCCAAGCAACCAUUUCGAGGCGUCAAUCUCCUGAAAUCUUGGCUCCAGGAGAAAACACCAGGUCAAGCAGAAGACUUUUGGAGAAAACAGGAUGCACCUUUGGCGGGGAGUGUGUGGGCCAAAGAUCAACCUCUGUCCAUCAAAUCUCAAAAGUCUUUUUGGUCGGGUUACCCAAACUACCUGUACACCUUCCCCCCCCACUACCAGAGGAAGCCCUACCCCUACUACCCAGUCUUCUAUCCCCCUCCAAUGAAACCCAGGUAUUACAUUUCCAAGCCUGCUCUCGGAGACGGCUCCUUCCUGUGGAACACUUUACCUCCAAAAAGACACUACCAAAGCUGGAUCCAACCACGAUUGAGAAAACCUCCCACCUAUUCCAUCCCAUACCCUCUAACGUUCCAGUCAGUACCCAUCAGCAAGCCUUUGACCCUCCCUCGCAGGCCUGUGUUUCUCUCUAAACCAAAGGAUGCGUAUGAUCCUGCCUCAGUUCCUCCACUGACAGAAACCAGAGAGAGAAGCAACCUGGAAAGAUUAGUGCAGCAGAUCCUUAUGAGGAGACCACAGGUGCUGGACUGA
Molecule: long non-coding RNA, 2037 nt
Organism: Gouania willdenowi (blunt-snouted clingfish)
Lineage: Eukaryota; Metazoa; Chordata; Actinopteri; Blenniiformes; Gobiesocidae
Source: Ensembl